UUACCAUAUGUUUCAUGUUGUUACUGGCACCCUAGAGAAUUGGAACAAUCAGAGUCUGACCAAAGAAUUUGGUUCGUGGCUUUGGGAGCAAGCUAAAAAUGAUCUGGCACCCAGGGGUUAAUUCUCAUGAGGAGCAAAGCAAGUCCAAUGCCUAAGGUUGCAAACAUAUUUUUGGAGUAAAUAUAAAGAAAGGCCUAGGUGCAGAAGGAUGACAUCUUUGUGGCAACGCCGCAGGAGAAGAUUUGGAAGGGAAACUGGGGUGACACAGUGGGGAAUUUAAUCCUUCUUUAGAGCAGCGUGUUCAGCAAUGGGACCUGUCUGAGGGAUAUGUUCAGCCAUGGGACCUGUUAUGCAGCCACUGCUUUCAGUCAUGUUUCUUUCCAUUCAUGGAGGUGAAACAUGGAGAAAUAUGAAAUGCCGUUUGCCUUUCAUGCCCGAAUGUUUUCCACACAUCACGUGCUGUGCAGUAGCCAGCUGAUAUAGGCAUCCAAGACACUCAUUUGUCGAUUAACCUCCUGAUUCCUCUCACUCAUAGCUU
RNAcentral lists this long non-coding RNA (538 nucleotides) under Sorghum bicolor (sorghum). RNAcentral describes it as "long non-coding RNA (SBIC_LNC014754)". The record is from RNAcentral. Lineage: Eukaryota; Viridiplantae; Streptophyta; Magnoliopsida; Poales; Poaceae.